CAGUCAAAUUUUCAUUAUAUUCCAGGACUCAAUUGGUCCUGGUUAUAACCAAAGCCUGACUUUA
This is a microRNA precursor of Cricetulus griseus (Chinese hamster), 64 nucleotides long. The record is from Ensembl. Lineage: Eukaryota; Metazoa; Chordata; Mammalia; Rodentia; Cricetidae.